CAUGGAAGAGAAACCUUGAGGAGCAUGAAGGAGACAAUCAUGAAGCACGAUCCUGGAGAGAGGGAAUCACUGCACUGAGAUUUGAUCUACUUGGCAAGAAAUACCUGUUUUGAUGAAAAGAUUGGAUCUGAGUUAUGGAAUCUUUAUUCUGAAGGAGAGAUUAUAUGCAACAGCAAACAGCCAUUAACCAAGGGGAAAAGGAGCAGUCCAGUUACCUGCUGUUGGGUACAUUUCAAACCACCCCAUCACUGGAUCCAGAAUUACAAGGGUAAGAGGCCUAUUUCCUGAACUACAUCUUGAAAGCAAUUAGUUGAGGC
Molecule: long non-coding RNA, 317 nt
Filed under: Cyanoderma ruficeps (rufous-capped babbler)
Lineage: Eukaryota; Metazoa; Chordata; Aves; Passeriformes; Timaliidae
Description: lncRNA (ENSCRFG00000010195.1)
Source: RNAcentral